AUGCCCACAUGGGCAGCACAUAUACUGAAAAUGGAACAAUACGGAGAAGGUUAGCAUGGCCCCUGAGUAAGGAUGAGACACAAAUUUAUGACGUGUUCCAUAUUUCU
Small nuclear RNA from Otolemur garnettii (small-eared galago), 107 nucleotides. The record is from Ensembl. Lineage: Eukaryota; Metazoa; Chordata; Mammalia; Primates; Galagidae.